GGGGAAUCUUCCGCAAUGGACGAAAGUCUGACGGAGCAACGCCGCGUGAGUGAUGACGGCCUUCGGGUUGUAAAGCUCUGUUAAUCGGGACGAAUGGUUCUUGUGCGAAUAGUGCGAGGAUUUGACGGUACCGGAAUAGAAAGCCACGGCUAACUACGUGCCAGCAGCCGCGGUAAUACGUAGGUGGCAAGCGUUGUCCGGAAUUAUUGGGCGUAAAGCGCGCGCAGGCGGAUUGGUCAGUCUGUCUUAAAAGUUCGGGGCUUAACUCCGUGAUGGGAUGGAAACUGCCAAUCUAGAGUAUCGGAGAGGAAAGUGGAAUUCCUAGUGUAGCGGUGAAAUGCGUAGAUAUUAGGAAGAACACCAGUGGCGAAGGCGACUUUCUGGACGAAAACUGACGCUGAGGCGCGAAAGCCAGGGGAGCGAACGGGAUUAGAUACCCCGGUAGUCCUGGCCGUAAACGAUGGGUACUAGGUGUAGGAGGUAUCGACCCCUUCUGUGCCGGAGUUAACGCAAUAAGUACCCCGCCUGGGGAGUACGACCGCAAGGUUG
RNAcentral lists this ribosomal RNA (549 nucleotides) under uncultured bacterium. RNAcentral describes it as "bacterial SSU rRNA". It matches the Rfam family "Bacterial small subunit ribosomal RNA", at positions 356 to 896 of the family's 1533-position model. The record is from RNAcentral.